RNAcentral lists this ribosomal RNA (301 nucleotides) under uncultured bacterium. RNAcentral's name for it is "partial 16S ribosomal RNA". It matches the Rfam family "Bacterial small subunit ribosomal RNA", at positions 509 to 807 of the family's 1533-position model. The record is from RNAcentral.
CAGUAGCCGCGGUAAUACGAAGGUCCCGAGCGUUGUUCGGAAUCACUGGGCGUAAAGGGAGCGUAGGCGGCGUGGUGAGUCAGAUGUGAAAUCCCGGGGCUCAACCCCGGAACUGCAUCCGAUACUGCCAUGCUAGAGGAUUGGAGAGGUAGCUGGAAUUCUUGGUGUAGCAGUGAAAUGCGUGGAGAUCAAGAGGAACACUCGUGGCGAAAGCGAGCUACUGGACAAUAACUGACGCUGAGGCUCGAAGGCCAGGGUAGCGAAAGGGAUUAGAUACCCCAGUAGUCCCUGUCUCUUAUAC